This 429-nucleotide unclassified non-coding RNA is filed under the name Hevea brasiliensis (rubber tree). The record is from RNAcentral. Lineage: Eukaryota; Viridiplantae; Streptophyta; Magnoliopsida; Malpighiales; Euphorbiaceae.
GAGGACAUGUUCUCUUGCUUCACCAUACGGAAUUAUUUGAAUGAGAAGACAAUAGUGAACGGAGUGGAAUACGUAGCUGCUUAUGAGGAUAAAGAUGGUGACUGGAUGAUGGUUGGGGAUGUACCAUGGAAAAUGUUUGUUGAAUCGUGUAAGCGACUAAGGUUGAUGAAAAGCUCAGAAGCAAUUGGAUUAGCUCCAAGGACGCCUUCAAAAUGCUCAAGCACAAGUGAGUGAGGCCUGGGAAUGAAACAAGUGGUGCACAGAGGCUUUUUCGGUGUAGAGGUUUUAAGUAGAAACAGAGAAAUAAGAGAGAGGCCUGCUUGUAGUUUUCUCUAUGUCACAUUACGUUAGUGCAACUGAAUUGAUGUUAGUGGGCCUUUCUCUCCAUUUUCAGCCUUUUGCCAUACUUGCUGAGUACCCAAAAAAAAA